Molecule: long non-coding RNA, 1398 nt
Filed under: Marmota monax (woodchuck)
Lineage: Eukaryota; Metazoa; Chordata; Mammalia; Rodentia; Sciuridae
Source: RNAcentral
UUGCCCCAUAUGCCCUAUACUAGAUACUGGGAAGGCUGACAACCCACAAACACCAGCAGAAGCAGACAAAAAAAAAUUCCUAAGAAAAUCCUGUUUUCUCUAGCCAAAGGACCAAGAAAGAGACAGCCUAGCAACACAGAAAACUUUUAAACAAUUACUCUUCUACUUCGUCUAAAUACUAUAGAAAAAUUCUGACUCCAGUCCUACUCUCACAUGCAAAGACUGAGUGAAGAGCCUAGACUCUCUUCAGAUUGUGAUGAGAUGCUCUAACUUCCCUCCAUUCACUACUGAGGUGGUAUCAGAAAACUAAAAGUAGAACUUAGACUUUUACCUCCAUCGAGCACUAAUGAGGUAGCACCCCAUCUUCCCCUUAAGAGUCUUCUCAGAGGAGGCCACGUCACACACAAAAUUUACCUGAGCUCUAUAGAGUAUCAUAACAAUACCUGCUGUAUCCAGUUUACAUAAAAAAUUAGUCAUUAUACCAUGAACAAGGAAUAUUUUAAACUGAAUGAGUAAAGGCAAUGGAUGUGAACACCAAGAUACAUAAGUAGAAUCAUCUAAGAAGUGUAAAGGAGCCAUAAAAUUGCCUCAGCAAGCAAUUGCAAACACACUUGAAAUAAAUGAAGAAAUUGAAAGUCACCAAAGCAACAAGAUAGAAGAACCAAAUGGAAAAAUUAGACAACAGCAAAAUGAAAACAUAGUACUUGAAGGUAAAACAAUAGAAGUUACUUAGUAUGAGUAACAGAAAACAAAGUGAAAGAAAGAUGAAUAGAAACUCAAGACCUGGGAGGCUAUAGCAAAAAUUAUAACAUGCAUGCAUAUCAUUAGAGUCCUUAAAAGAAUGGAAUUAGAUCAUAGGGAUAAGAAAAAGUAUUCAAAGAAACACUGGCUGAAAUUUCCCCAAGUGUGGCAAAUUUAUAUUUUUACAGAGAAUCCAAUAUAAUUUAUUGAUUGCAUUUAUAAUGAAUCCAAGCUGGGUGGAAAUCAAAUAGUUUCACGUUCCUUCUUUUUUUUUUUUUUUCUUUUUAAUACUGGGAAUUGAACUCAGGGGCACUCAACCACUGAGCAACAUCCCCAGCCAUAUUUUGUAUUUUAUUUAGAGAGAGGGUCUCACUGAGUUGCUUAAUGGCCUCGCUUUUUGCUGAGGCUGGCUUUGAACUCGGAGCUGCUGGUAUUACAGGCAUGUGCCAUUAUGCCCAGUAAGUAGUUUCUUUCUUAAAGGGAUUAUUAACUGUAGAGUGCGGUAGCACACACUAUAAUCCCAGUGACUCGAGGCUGAGACAGGCAGGAUGAUCACAAGUUUGAGGCUAGACUCGGCAACAUAGCAAUACCCUGUCUCAAUAAAAGGGUUGGGAAUACAGCUCAUUGGGGAGUAUGCCUGAGUUCAAUCCUCAUUAC